UAUAUAUAUAUAUAUAUAUAUAUAUAUAUAUUAUGUGUUGACGUCACUUCACUGGGAUCCAUUAACAGAAUACUUAUUGUUGUUGUAGUUUUAUUUUCUGUAUCUGGUGAUGGCCCCCUCUGACCCGACACACUCAGGAGCGGGACCACCGGCCUCUAUUGUUCCAGUCUUUUGUCUGCCCCGUGUUGACAUUAGGUUAGAUGAGGGCAACCUGUGAACCUUGGACGUUGGAGUCAAGUGCUCAGACAAUGGCUGUCGUUCAUCAGCGUGGCGAGUGUGGGAUUCGAGGAAAAUAAGACAGUUCUUAUUUUUUUAUAUAUCGGUGUACUUUUUCACCCCCCUUUUUUUUAACUAAAUCAUGGCAUUUCAUGUGCCAGACGUACCAAGUGUACAAUCUCAGCAACAGCUUUAGUCAUUGGUCGUGUGUACUAGGUUAUUCUGUAUGGCCAACAAUGACAUUUCCCUCCCAGAAGAUUGAUGAAACCCCCAGAUCUAGGCGAGAUCCCUGAGACAGUGCCAUAUUUCUUUUCGCCACUCCUUCAUUCUUUUAUGGCUCCUACUCGUUAGAAGCAGUGCUUUCACAGAGAUGUGGCGGCGAGAGCUUUACGACGUUCACUUCAAAGGCUCGGUGUAUUGCUGACAUCACAGUCCCUGGUAAACCCAGCCUGAUACUAGGCUAGCUAACCUCAAGGGCUGGUUCUCUGGUCACACUCAUCGCCUGUGUUUUAAACAGAGGGGGAAUGGGCGUCUUGUCCCAAUGUCGUAAUGCCACUCUGGAUAAAAAAUAAUAGCGAUUAAAAAAGGAAAAUGGAAUCUAUUGUUUUAAUUUGCUCUUUUGUCACCCAGUGGAGACGAAGGAUCAACAGCCUUCAUCUUCCAUGUCUCAAACAAUCAAAAAAUAUUGCUUUCAAUAACAAAAUCAUUUUAUUUUCUUAUUUUACUUAAAUUGUAUUGGUCUGAUAAGCAUCUUGCCAUCUUUAUCAAAAAAUUGGCCUUUAAAAGGUGGUUCAAUAAUAUUGGGGAGCUAUAGUUUUCAGCGAUAUACUGUAGGUGAGCUAUAACAACGUAAUGAGCCCAGAGAAUCACGGAUAUAUUAUAAACCCGAGGCUAAACUAAUAGUAUUUAUUGUACCGCUCCACGUCACUAUGUCCAUGUCCACACAUUUUUUACUCGCGUACGCACACAAAUGGCAUGUUGAAACACGCCAGGUGACGGCAAACGCACCGCGGAGCAGUGGUUUAAAGGUUUGGUGUCUUGCUCAAGGACUCCUCUAAAAUUAAGCCGGGAGGAGCAGGGGAUCGAAGCCGGCUACACUUGAGCCGUGAGAAAAAGCUCCUGCUGUCCUAUCCCUCCUGGCUUCGCAUUAUGCAUUAGGCUGGCUGUGACUCUUCAAAAGGGGCUCAAAGAGAGUAGUCAGCUGACCCCCAGACACACACACACACACACACACACACACACACACACACACACACACACACACACACACACACACACACACACACACACACACACACACACACACACACACACACAGUUUAUUGCUCUGAUCGCAGGGCUGUGUAAGCAAGCGGCCUGGUUAAUAGAAAGGAUGACCUCUUUUAAAGUUUGGCCUCUGUUUCUGUUAAUUCAUGGAUGUGUGUGGGUGGGUACAGUGUAAGGCUUUCUUCCCUUUCUUUCCCAUCCCAUGGACACACACACACACACACACACACACACACACACACACACACACACACACACACACACACACACACACUCUCUUCCCAUGUGUGUCCAUGCGUUUCAUUCUAGGGCUCUGUACUCUGUCCAACAGGUGCCCACACAGCGAAGCAUA
Long non-coding RNA from Gadus macrocephalus (Pacific cod), 1834 nucleotides. RefSeq lists it as uncharacterized. The transcript is spliced from 2 exons. The record is from RefSeq and is a predicted model, not a curated record. NCBI's taxonomy places the organism in Eukaryota, Metazoa, Chordata, Actinopteri, Gadiformes, Gadidae.